This 1747-nucleotide long non-coding RNA is filed under the name Sus scrofa (pig). RNAcentral describes it as "lncRNA (ENSSSCG00055017441.1)". Lineage: Eukaryota; Metazoa; Chordata; Mammalia; Artiodactyla; Suidae. The record is from RNAcentral.
GAUUAGCUCAGGGGAGAGACGUCUUUUCCUUCGAAUCCACCUUUUUGAGCAGAGAAGAGAGGAGCUGAGCGGUUCCCGUCUGGGACCUUAGCCCUCGCUUCUUUUUCAUGACGCCACAACCCCUACAAAACCCAACCAAACAGAACGAACUGUGAAGUACCUUUGUUAUUUUUCAGAGUCCACACAGAGGUGGUGGGUGGCUGCUGAAGCCCAGGCUUCCAUCUGGGACAUCGUCUCUCCACGUACAGAUGAUGCGCGUGUGUGGACGUUUUUGAAUAGAGAGGGAAAAUGUCAGAUUUGGGGCCUCUUGAGCCCAGCAUCAUCUUUUUAAGAAGUCUCCCCCAUGCCAAGGAAUCUGAUUGGGUGGCUCCGGUGUCUGCCUGACAUUGGCACCUAGACGAUAAUCUCCUUAACGCUGUAAAUACUAAAGCUAAGUACCUUGGCAGGCAAAACAGCUAUGAUCUCGGAGAACACGUCGCGGCCGUCUGGCGGAGACCACUGCUGCGGUCAGUGACGGCCAAGCCCCACGCAGGGCGAAGCGUGUGACCUGACAGAGCAGGAAAUGGGCAGCCAAGACCUCGCCACUGUUUGGAAAUCUUUAAAGAUGCCAGGAGAGGGUUUCUCUUCCUGUGUAAGAGAGAAGCCAAGCUGUUGUCAUCUGAGGGGCAGCUGUAGGGAGUGGGGUACAGGUGGGUCUGAGAAAAGGAGUGACAGCAGGGAGGGGGGCUUCCAGGCUUCUCCUGUCCCCGGGACCUGGGAUCCCUGGCUCCCACAAUGCUCAUUGGGAAAUGGAUCUUUCCACUUAGCCUCGGGGGUGAACAAGGACGCUGCAACUCUGAGGCAACGGCUGGGUGACAAUACCUGGCCAUCGCCUCCUCUCCCAUGUGCUGGUCGGAAGAAAACCUCUCCCCUGCAGCCUUCCUGCAGAAGCCGCGUGGCUGCAUGUGCCCUGCUCUUGUGCUCACAUGAUUCUGUCCGCCUGGGCUCCUUCCCCUCUUCUGUCUGAUAACCUCCCAGUUACCCUUCAAAACGCAGACGAGGCCUGGCCGGAGGGCCCUCAGCCGCCCCUUUCUCCCUUCACACCUAAGACGGGCCAACUCAAACGCAUGCCAUCUGCAGGGAUGAAGUCACGAGCCACAGUAGCCGCGGGCCUUCGACACCCCUGAAAGGAGCUGGGGGCGGAGCUCAGGAGGAGGCACUCUGUGCUCCAGGAAAACUGGCCGAACAGGUCUUCAGAGAGGGAGAUAUUUUCCGGAGAUGUUAUGACCCAGUUUCUUGCAUCGUCUCAUGUCUAGAACAGCCCUAAAAUCAUUCAUGGAGAUGGCAUUUUAUUACACAAACAUUUAAGUUUUAUAUAACUUAGCAAUUACCUGUAUUAUAUGGAAAUAUCGUCUAACUUAAUCCUCACGUAACACCACGGGAAGGAGCCAUCCCGGACCAUUUGACAGGGGAGGCAGCUGGGACCAGAGGCACGUGGGCCUUUCAUUAGCUGUUCCUCCCUCCUCAUCUUCUCUCUCCCAGCCGAUCCCACCAAUGGGUCCUUGAGGGCCCACUUUCUCGGUGGGGACCACAUCUAUCCAUGAGGACGCGGGUUCAAUCCCCGGCCUCGCUCAGGGAGGCAAGCAUCUGUGUUGCCAUGAUAUAGGUCACAGACGUGGCUCAGAUCCCGAGUGGCUGUGGCUGUGGUGUCGGCCAUGGCUACAGCUCCAAUUCGACCCCUAGCCUGGGAACCUCCAUGUGCUGCAGG